Long non-coding RNA from Strigops habroptila (Kakapo), 202 nucleotides. RefSeq lists it as uncharacterized. Lineage: Eukaryota; Metazoa; Chordata; Aves; Psittaciformes; Psittacidae. The transcript is spliced from 3 exons. The record is from RefSeq and is a predicted model, not a curated record.
ACAGGUACGCCCGCUAAGGUAGCUCCUGCCACCCCUUCUGGUCACAAUGCAGCUCGGAGCUGGCCUCUUGGUCGUUGGACAGCUGUGUGGAAAUCAUCAGUGAUGUGGGAAGUCCCUCAGAACUGGGAAUUCUGGCAGGUGAGGCCAUUGAAACCACAGGACUUUCUGAACUGGGAUGUCAGCACCAUGGAGCUGCAGAUGC